This 646-nucleotide ribosomal RNA is filed under the name uncultured marine eukaryote. Its description in RNAcentral is "SSU rRNA". It matches the Rfam family "Eukaryotic small subunit ribosomal RNA", at positions 618 to 1262 of the family's 1831-position model. The record is from RNAcentral.
GUUAAAAAGCUCGUAGUUGGAUCUCGGCGGUCUGAGGGCGGUUCGCUUGAUUGAGUGCUACUGCUCUAUAGGCCGUGGUUUUGCCAGAGGUCUCGGGGUGCUCUUGACCGAGUGUCCUGCGAUGCUGGCAGGUUUACUUUGAAAAAAUUAGAGUGCUCAAAGCAGGCUUUUACGCCUGAAAAUUCGUGCAUGGAAUAAUAGAAUAGGAAGUCGUUUCUAUUUUGUUGGUUUUCGGAAAUCGACUUAAUGAUUAAUAGGGACAGUCGGGGGCAUUUGUAUUCAAACGACAGGGGUGAAAUUCUUGGACCGUUUGAAGACAAACUACUGCGAAAGCAUUUGCCAAGAAUGUUUUCAUUAAUCAAGAACGAAAGUUAGAGGUUCGAAGGCGAUUAGAUACCGCCCUAGUUCUAACCAUAAACGAUGCCAGCUAGCGAUCUGCCGACGUUUUCUUUGUAGACUCGGCAGGAAGCUUCCGGGAGACCAAAAGCAUUUGGGUUCCAGGGGAAGUAUGGUUGCAAAGCUGAAACUUAAAGGAAUUGACGGAAGGGUACCACCAGGAGUGGAGCCUGUGGCUUAAUUUGACUCAACACGGGAAAUCUCACCAGGCCCGGACACUGGAAGGAUUGACAGAUUGAUAGCUCUUUCU